This 2217-nucleotide long non-coding RNA is filed under the name Helianthus annuus (common sunflower). RNAcentral's name for it is "hypothetical non coding rna". The record is from RNAcentral. Lineage: Eukaryota; Viridiplantae; Streptophyta; Magnoliopsida; Asterales; Asteraceae.
GUGGGCAAAGGGUUUUUCUCGUGAACAAACCACCCAUAAUUGAAGGAAGGUUGUUGAUAAUGGCAGCAAUAUGGUGAGGAGAUGAUCGACCCGCAAAACAACUCUUUUUUAUACGCUUAAUUGCCACAUCAGUUCCCCUCCAUUUUCCAUGGUAUACUGUCCCGAAUGUACCAGAACCGAGCUCCUUUAACUCUUCAAGAUCAUCGUUUCUUAUGAUCUGCAACAGCGGACUGAUAUCAAGAUUAUCACAAGAAGGCAGCCCAACAUUCCCAGUAUCAACCUACAAAUGUUAUAUCGAGCAAACGAUGUGUUAUAUAAUCGAUCAGGUUUCAAGAAACCGUGUAGGGUCAUUGACGUAAAUUUACCUCAUGCUCUGAGUUUGGCUUCCUAAUAUUUUCCACCAUAUCAACAAACUGCAUGCUUUCACUGACUUUAACCUGUGAUGGAUCAUGUUGUGAUUGAGAUGAAAACGCAAGCUGAUCUUGAUCGAUAAGAGAAACGUCUUUUUGUGGGAACUCGUCUCCUCUCGCCAAUUUCUGGAAAAAAGACCAAUGUUGCGGUUCAUGAUUCGGUAUGUUCAUGCUCAGCCCCGCUCCAUCUUGCGGGUCAUCAUUAGCAGUAAAAUCACUAGUUUCCGCUGGUUUAUCAAAAGUUGAGAUGGGACGGAGAUCGUUUUGAGAAGGAAUGUCUUCGGAAAUUGAAUUUUGCGGGCCCAUAUCAGAACGCGAAUGAGUUAAAAUGAACUGAGAUGAAUCAUCGGACUUUGUUAGCCUGUUCAUUUCAACCUGCCCGCGUGGAAUUCUUUCGGAAUGAUAAACCCGUGGUGGGGCCACAAGCGGCUCAAGGUAGCUCAAAUCAAUGAGAUCCGACCCUGAUCCAUCGUUAUCAGCAUAAGAAUUAUUUUCAAUAUUUUUAGAAGCUUUUUCCAUGCUGGCAGCAUCAACGGUUUUUUCAUCCGCUUCACUUUUUAAAGAUUUAACAUUACCGUCUUCAACCUCUUGCUGACUUGGAUUCUUUACCGGUGACUCGUGAUUUUUCACGUCCGUAGUGUUAUUACAUUUCUGCCCUUCAGAGUUCAAUUGAACAGAAUUUUCAUUUUCAACAGGAAGUUUGUCGGUUGCUUUACUUAUGUCAAUAUCAACAUUGGGCACAUCGAGCUGGUUUGAAUUAUUUAGUGACGUGAUCCCGAGACCAUGAAAACUUGACUCCCGUCUCGAACCCAGGUCCAAACCGUUGACCGCAACCACAAACUGAACCUCUGAAUCCGCACCAGAGUUGACCAAACCAAAUUGAGUAUCGUCUAAAUCACUAAUAGAAAAUAAGAACAUUCUAAGCUUCUUCGAGGCGUCACCGUCACCAAGAACGUUACACUCCUCCAUCAUAUUCUGUAAAUCUUCAUCACACGAAACCGAUACCAACGCAUCAAGAUCCUCCCCCGGAAGCUGGUAUUUGAUUGAAGACGUUUCAUGAUAAAGUUCUAUCGCUUUGUGCCAUAAUUCUUGCCAAGAAAUAUCCCGUUUUACACGAAUAAUUCGUGUAUCUCCGCCAACGUAUCUAAGUUUCCCGUCACGUGGACGCGGUAAGAUUUUCCCGCCAAAACUGCAUAAAAUCUUGAUUUUGGAUAAAGAAUUAUCCGAUGCGCGACUACUAUUAUUUCGGGUUAUUGAUGACAUAGAUAAAGAAUCAUCAAUUGACCGAUUUGACCCUCUUUGGACAAUGUUGACCAUGGGAAUUUGAGAGCCGGUUCCAGAGCCAUAGACGCCUAACGCGCCUUUUGGUUCGAAGUAGCCAGGUGUAUGGCUAGGAUCGCCUGCGGAGUGUGGAACGAAGGGCGUUCUAGGAUUCACGCGGUCCCACAUAAACUCGAGAGAAAAUUCUUCACCUGUCUGGAUGGAAUAAUUUAGCGCAGGUUUCAUCUCGGUUGGUCGUACAUUGGUGGGAUUUAAGAAACCCUGAGAUGAAGACGAUGCGGACUCACUGUUGUCAGAUGGAACGGCGUGGCGAUAUUGGACAUGGUUGUAGCCUUUUGAAGGUUCCAUUAUUCAAAAUGAUUAUGUAAAAUCAACCUCUCUCAAAAGUAGUAUUAGUGGUGACAAAAAUCAGUUCCGAAAUACCAUGAAAACUGUGUUGAAGCCAUACGGGCACAACUCGUACUUAAACCUACAAUUUGACAAACAAAAAAAAAAAGCUCUGCUUAAUACCAUAUAUGCAUGUAUU